Molecule: ribosomal RNA, 497 nt
Filed under: uncultured bacterium
Lineage: Bacteria
Description: partial 16S ribosomal RNA
Rfam family: Bacterial small subunit ribosomal RNA
Source: RNAcentral
GAUGAACGCUGGCGGCGUGCCUAAUACAUGCAAGUCGAGCGAACGGACGAGAAGCUUGCUUCUCUGAUGUUAGCGGCGGACGGGUGAGUAACACGUGGAUAACCUACCUAUAAGACUGGGAUAACUUCGGGAAACCGGAGCUAAUACCGGAUAAUAUUUUGAACCGCAUGGUUCAAAAGUGAAAGACGGUCUUGCUGUCACUUAUAGAUGGAUCCGCGCUGCAUUAGCUAGUUGGUAAGGUAACGGCUUACCAAGGCAACGAUGCAUAGCCGACCUGAGAGGGUGUAGGGCCACACUGGAACUGAGACACGGUCCAGACUCCUACGGGAGGCAGCAGUAGGGAAUCUUCGGCGAUGGGCGAAAGCCUGACGGAGCAACGCCGCGUGAGUGAUGAAGGUCUUCGGAUCGUAAAACUCUGUUAUUAGGGAAGAACACAUGUGUAAGUAACGGUGCACAUCUUGACGGUACCUAAUCAGAAAGCCACGGCUAACUACGUG